AUUGAACGCUGGCGGAAUGCUUUACACAUGCAAGUCGAACGGCAGCACGGGUGCUUGCAUCUGGCGGCGAGUGGCGAACGGGUGAGUAAUGCACCGGAACGUACCCAGUAAUGGGGGAUAACUAUCCGAAAGGAUAGCUAAUACCGCAUACGCCCUGAGGGGGAACGCGGGGGAUCGUAAGACCUCGCGUUAUUGCCGCGGCCGACGCCGGAUUCGCUAGUUGGUGGGGUAAAGGCCCACCAAGGCGACGAUCCGUAGCUGGUCUGAGAGGACGACCAGCCACACUGGAACUGAGACACGGUCCAGACUCCUACGGGAGGCAGCAGUGGGGAAUUUUGGACAAUGGGCGAAAGCCUGAUCCAGCCAUUCCGCGUGAGUGAAGAAGGCCUUCGGGUUGUAAAGCUCUUUCGCAAGGAAAGAAAACUUACUUAUUAAUACUAGGUGAGGUUGACGGUACCUUGAUAAGAAGCACCGGCUAACUACGUGCCAGCCGCCGCAGUAA
Molecule: ribosomal RNA, 502 nt
Filed under: uncultured bacterium
Lineage: Bacteria
Description: partial 16S ribosomal RNA
Rfam family: Bacterial small subunit ribosomal RNA
Source: RNAcentral